CGGACGGGUGAGUAACACGUGGAUAACCUACCUAUAAGACUGGGAUAACUUCGGGAAACCGGAGCUAAUACCGGAUAAUAUUUUGAACCGCAUGGUUCAAAAGUGAAAGACGGUCUUGCUGUCACUUAUAGAUGGAUCCGCGCUGCAUUAGCUAGUUGGUAAGGUAACGGCUUACCAAGGCAACGAUGCAUAGCCGACCUGAGGGGGUGAUCGGCCACACUGGAACUGAGACACGGUCCAG
This 241-nucleotide ribosomal RNA is filed under the name uncultured Staphylococcus sp. RNAcentral describes it as "partial 16S ribosomal RNA". It matches the Rfam family "Bacterial small subunit ribosomal RNA", at positions 99 to 334 of the family's 1533-position model. The record is from RNAcentral. Lineage: Bacteria; Bacillati; Bacillota; Bacilli; Caryophanales; Staphylococcaceae.